Non-coding RNA from Vicugna pacos (alpaca), 4481 nucleotides. Lineage: Eukaryota; Metazoa; Chordata; Mammalia; Artiodactyla; Camelidae. The record is from RefSeq and is a predicted model, not a curated record.
AGGGAGAACACCUUUAGGAAAAGGAGUUACCAUGGGGGUGAAGAUGUCCCUGGGGACUCCCUGUUUGCUUGUAUGACACCAUCCCACCCACUCGAAGUGGCUUUGGGACAGCUCCUGGGACCGCAUUGAUGGAUGCCUGGAAACACAACAGCCAUCAAAGAGGUAGAGGAAAGGAUGGGUAUGGACUUGAAGGAAGGAGUAAGCUGGGUAAGUGAGGGAGUAAGUAAGCUGAGAGGGCUGUGAGGGUGACCGAAGCGGGUGGGGGGGGACUGGAACAGGUGGCCUGACCACUCACUGACCCUCUGACUGCCAAGGGAAGGCAGCUCCCUAGAAUGGCCUGGGAUUUUGCUUUGUUCCCUUGCCCCCAAGAAAAGUAGGAGAGACAGGACAGUGGGCUCGUCCCUGGCCUGCCCUGGCCCUCUGGCCCAGAGCUGGGAAGCUGCCACAGAGCAUGGGAGGGCCUGGGAGGGGCUAGGACAAACAAGGAAAAAGGCUUUUCAGGAAAACUUGGUUCUGAAGUUGGCCUCCACCCCCUCUCACUCCUCACUCCUCCCUCCACCCCCUCUCCCUCCUCCCGCUGGAGGGAAAGCUGGGAGGCGAGCCACCAUGUCCAGCGCUGCUCUCUGCGCCCUUCCAGAUUCUCCAUCAGAGCCAGGGCCAGCACCCAGGGACCUGCCAGGGCUAGACUUAAAAUCAAGGACCUUGGCAUGACCUCUAGCUCCCCACCAGCCCCAGCACCCCCACGGGCACACUCCCUUUAGUUGCCCUGUUUGGCAACUAGGGCUCUGUUUGCUGCUGUGGUGGUGACCCUGUCCACCCCUUGUUCGACUAGCUGGUGUUUAUCCCUGUAGGGGGAGGGCCAGGGGUCAAGCCUCCCUCCCUGAGUUUACAGCCUGUGAGAGGGAGGAGGAAGCAGAGGCAGCAGAGCUGAAAUGCAGUCAGCCUAACUCUUGGCAAGAAGCUGGGUUGUUUUGCAGUCUGUGUGAGGUAUGAAGGCGGAGGCUGGGAGGAGGAGGCAGAGCAGGGGGGUUACUUCUGCUCCCUCCUUUCUCUGCACUUCUUAUGGGGCCCUUCCUUUUCUCCCUGACAAAGAAGUAACUUUGGGAUCUUCCUUCUAUGACUGGAGAGAAAGCUACAGAAUGAUAAAGAAGCAGGACUCUCCCUAGGCUCCAGAAGCUUCUAUCUAUUCACCCUGCUCCUUUCUCUGUCAGCAGCUGCUGGGAGAAUGGGAGAAGGACAGAGGCUCAGGGACCCAGAGCCACCAAAGGGAGGGAGAAAAGGGUGGGUUGUUUGGUCUUUGGGGACCUGGAGUAGAAUCUAGCUUUGGCCGCUCUUUGACCUCAACCUUGACCUUAAGACAACAGAUGCAUCUCAGCCCAGCCUCCCACCGCCCCCCCACCCGCAGCAGCUGGACAUUCCAGUUCUACACACACACACACACACACACACACUAUAUCCCCCAUAGCCAAAUUCAACCCAAGAAGGAAGUGGACCUUUAACAAACAGUGCUCAGAUUGGAAGCAUGGGGAACGGAUGCAUAUCUAAGACCCGGCCCAGCAAAGCACUACUCUGGUUCCAUGUUGCCUCCACUUCCACUCCAAUUCCUCAGAGGCUGGGAUUCUGGGAACUAGCCUCACCAUUUAUAGGCAGACUGGGAUCCUGUGUAUGUGUAUACAUUUCCAACUAUGUCUUUAAUUCUCUUGGGGAGGACAGCAGAGACCUAGGAAGGGAAGAGAGUGUAAGAGCUCUAAGCUCUGGCCAGAGUGUGUGUGUGUGAUCGUAUGACUGUGAGUGAGAGACUGCAUGUGUGAGUGUGUUAGUGUGAAUGUUAGGAGUGUGUGUGGCUGUGUGUGUUUCAUCCAAGAUGUAUUCUCCUUGUCAGUAGGUUGUUCUAGGUAACAGGGCAACACCCUGUGCAAAUCCUGGGUGGCCUAGAUUGUUGGCCGACUGCUUGACUGACUGACUGACUGGGGUGGGUCUUUGCUGGAAACCAGGUCAGGCUUCAGUAGGUGCCUUCCUUUCCCUCUUCUUUCUCACCAAGCGAACCAUGGCCCAGGGAAAUAACCUGCCUGCCCAGGUGAUGCUAACCUAGAUCAGAAGCCCUGGGUAUGCCCCAAACUCAGGGAAGCAGCCCUGUGCCUGGAAGAGACUCAUUCCCUGCCCUCCUAGAUUCUUUUCCUGUUGUCUAAAAAGCCAGCCAGCUUUCCCUAACCCAGCCAAAGCUUAGACCUCUUGGGGGAGAAUUUCAAGAGCAUGAAAGCAGGAGGGUCAAAGUCUGAGUUAAUUUGUUCUUAAGGAGAGAUGGAAAAAGGGAGGAUGAAGCAUGAUCCAGGGCUGGGUUCGAUGGAUGUGUUUUGCCUCAGUUUCUAUCUUGACCUCACUACUCCCUUUUCCAACGAAAGGAAAUAAUAAAUAUGUAUUAAGUACCAACUAUAUGCCAGGCACUGGGCUGUGUGUUACACAUGUUAUUUCACUGAAUAGCCACAAAAACCCUAUGCCAUGGGUCUUGUUCUUAUUUUAAAGAUAGGGAAUCUGAGACUUGGAGAUGUUUAUUAACUGGCCCAGGGUGCUCCAGAGACUAGGCGGUUUGUCUUGAAGCUGUAUUUGAAGGGAAGUGCUUAAGAUUGAGAGGAUGCCAUAUUCAAGAAUGGUGGAGUUUAUGGACAUUUUUGGAGGAGCUAAAGCUCCCCCAGCUAACUCUUGGAACUACCGCUAUCAAUGGCAGAAUGAAAAUGGCAAUGUUGGGAAUUCAACCCCAGGUCUGAGGAUAAAACUCUUUCCACUAGCAGGACUGCCCUUCCUGGAGAGAAUGAUCAUGCUAGAUGGAAUGUCUGAGCAACAGGCUCAUCCUGGUGUUUCCUAAGCAAUGAUGGGACUGGAAGUGAGAUGUGUCACCAAGAAGGGAAGCCUUGCUCCUGUCCCCACAAGUACCUUAGCUUCCCAGAACCUCCUACUUCAACCACAUUUCUUCUCUCUUAAACUUCUCCCUCUCUCCCUCCAACAUUCCCCUCUUCUGGUUAGGUAGAAGGGGGCCAGAAUCGGGUGCAAAAAAUAAAUAACUUCCACAAAGAUUGCUCAGAGGUGAGUAACUGAAGGAGGCCUCUGAACUCUUUUCUCUGCCUGACCCCCUGACUUUGGGAUCUGUAGCUGGUGAUGAAGGGAGAAGGGCACAUAGGUCUGAGCCCCUUAAGUUGCUUUCUUCUAGGGGAUGUAUCAAGAAUGGAUUGGUUGGGGGAGGGGAUUUAGCUCAGUGGUAAAAAUGUAUGCUUAGCAUGUGUGAGGUCCUGGGUUCAACUUCCUCCAAUAAAAAUAAAUAAAUACACAUUUUAAAAAGGAAUUGAUUGGUUCAAUGACAGUAUGGAAGGCCACCCCUAAGUUGUAUAAGUUGUAUAAAUAGCCCUAAGGAAACAAACAUCCUGCUUCCCCAUUUACCUGCUUGAGAGGUGUGCACUUCUAAAAACAGCCCCUUGAAAGCCACCCACCAUGGGUUGCUUCUUCAGCAGAUGCUUUGUGGAGGCCAAAGGAGGACUCCCCUCUCAGAGCUCAGAAUCCCAGAGAAAUCACAGGGUCAGGGAGGUGACAUGGACUGCCCUUGGCAGUGGGAGACUAAGCCUCAGGUUGCCCUCCUUCUGGCAUGGGGUUCCUCCUCCUGGGUUAGGGGGCAGUGGCAUCCAGCACAUGCUAUGCCAAGGCCAUCCUGUCCAACCUUUGCUGCUGGAGCCCGCUGGUAGUGUCACCUUCCAGAUCCCUACACCUACCCAGUGGCUGUCCUUGAGCCUCUGUAAGACAGAAACACAGGGGAAUGUGUAUGGGGAGUGUGUGUUUAGGGCAGGGAUCUGUGUGCCUGCCUCCAUCUCCACCCCUUACCCCAAGCUCUAGCUCAAACCCUCUUGUUGACCAGCAUCUCCCCACUCCUUGGGCCUCUGCAGGUCUCCAUGCAGCUGCCUGGGGAGGCCAGAGGCUCAUGACAGUCCUCGUGAGCAGGAUGGACCUUGGAGGAGCUGUGACCUGGGCAGGCAUUAGGGGCUGUGUGUAGCUUCUGGGAGGCUUACAUAAACAGUGGCUGGGAUGGGGAGGGAAAAAGGGAUGCAAGGGGCUGCCCAGGAAGCAAAAAGCGACUCCCGCCCCACCAGUGCCGUCUGAGUGGAAAGAAGAAACAAGGCUGAUUUUCCCUCCUCCCAUCCUUCUUCCCUGGUCCGCAGCUGUUAGUUGGGCUGGAAAGACUGCAGUAUCUUGGGGGAGGGGGGGCAGAGGAAGGAGAGAGAGAGGAUGCGACUUCACAAAUUUAGGAUCCCUCCCCUUUCUCUAAAUUGGGGGUGGGGGUGGGGCGAGCAAUUUGCCAAAGAGAUUUUCAAUGCCGCAGGAAGGAGCUUUGGCUCAUUAGAAUGCGCAGUUUGCACCCUGAAAAAAAAAAAAUCUGUGCUGGUUGCAAAACUGCAGACGUGUGUAGGGGCCCAGCAGAGAAUCAAAAAAAAAAAAAA